UAUUUAGAUAUUUGAGGUAAAUGUACAUUUAAGGAGUGAGCAUUUAACUUCUAUUUUAGCAGAGAUAACCCAAAUGUCUGCGACUCCAUCAACACGUGAAUUUACAGACUUUGAAGAUCUUUGUAAAGGUUGCAAUGGUUACUCUUACAACCUGGCUGAAUUGUUUGAUGGAUGUGAUCAUGACCACACAAAUCAUCACAGGCAUAGUAUUUCUUUUAAGCAAUCUUUGAAAAGAUUAAAACUAAAACUGAAGCAAUCGUUAUGUGAGUUGGAAAGGCAGACUGAAAGAAAAGUAACGGACUUUACAAUAGGUAAAACAUUUGUGAAAGAAAAAAAAUUAGCGCACUUUAACCCUAUGAAACCGACGACUUGGUGUCUAGUAGGAGGAAUAACUGCAAGAUGGCGGAAUUACAAAAGUAAUAACUAUGAUGGAUUAAUUGUUUUAGGAUGCGUUGAAAGGAAUCUUGUUCCAAAAAAAUUACGAGAAUGUAGCGCAAAUGCACAUCGUAUGGACAAGACAACAAUCGAAAUGAACCAGCAAAAUUAUGCUUUAGGCCUGGAGCAAGCUUUGAUACAAUAUUUUUCAUUGAUCAAAGCAGACGAAAGACUACGUAAUCUAUCAUUUGAUAUUGGUAAUAUAUCAAAGGAAAAAUAUAUAUGAGGAGUUGUAUAUGUUGCAUACAAACUUGAGCCUGAACCCUGUUAUUCCGAUGAAGAAGCAAAUGUUUAUCAAGGUAUGUAUUUGUGUUGUUGUAGUUUUUUGCAUGUUUUGUACCUGUCGCAUUUGAUGACACCAUCUAUCGUAUUAAUAUUUGCAAAUGUCCUUUUUAUGUUCGGUGUCAGCAGAAUUAAGACCAUGUCUAGUAAUAACAUUUUGACGUGGCUUGGCAUUUGUAGAUCCCGUCAUUGUUUUAUUGCGCUAUGCUCAUUUUGUUGUAUUCUGAUCUUUCAUUUCUACUUAUGUGCUUUGUCUGAAGAGUGUCUACAUGUCAGUUUGGUUUUCUUUGUUGAUAAGGUGUUUGCUUUUUUAGCGAUUAAGAUCAUAACAUUAUGAUGACUGCUGUACCGAAACGUUUGGCAUUUUUACGUAUUAUGUCUGUUUGUUUUGUUUACACAUUUUUGUCAGUAUAAGGAAAUUUGAUGUGACUGUAAAUUCUGUGAGAGGUUUAAUCAACCUUUUUCUACAUGAGAAAAUGCCUGUACCAAAUCAAGAAUAUGCCAGUUGGUUUUCAUUCGUUUGAUGUGUUUGAGGUUUGGAUUUUGUCAUUUGAUAAAUGAAUGGCCUUUAUGUUUUUCCUGAUUUUUGCUAUUUACUUUUCGGACCCUUAUAAUAUAAAAUAAUAUCAAGAAAAAUAGCAAUACAUACAGUGAAAACGCAAAAGGCAGAACAUAAAAAUUAGGCAAGCCAAAAUUUUAAGUCACCGCAGUUAUCAAGGCUAUUUAAAUACAACAGCUCACAUAACUCAAAAGCAAUCUAAAAAUUUAGUGAUACAAAUCCAACAUAACAGCGUCAUCGAAACCGUAUUUACAUGUUAAACAUGUGUAGUGAUGGUUUUGGUUGGUUUGUCCUAAUUCUCUGUUGGCAAAGAUUCUGAGGACGAACAUAUAAUGUGAAAAUACUCGAACGUAAUGUAUUAACUGAGAUAUGCAAACGCCAAACGAUGGGUCAACGGUGUGUAACUGCUAAGUAACUGGAAGUUGACGGUUGGAAAUUAGAAGUCAUUACGUUUAUCGUAGAUUCUUGUGUUCAGCCUUCCAUCUGUGUCAAAUGUGGAAAGAUCAAUAAGUGAAACAGAUAUUCUAGUAUCCUUAGUUUCCUUAAAUCCCCCAUAUUCC
Molecule: long non-coding RNA, 1836 nt
Organism: Mytilus californianus (California mussel)
Lineage: Eukaryota; Metazoa; Mollusca; Bivalvia; Mytilida; Mytilidae
Exons: 3
Source: RefSeq, a predicted model, not a curated record